Molecule: long non-coding RNA, 932 nt
Organism: Rhagoletis zephyria (snowberry fruit fly)
Lineage: Eukaryota; Metazoa; Arthropoda; Insecta; Diptera; Tephritidae
Source: RefSeq, a predicted model, not a curated record
UGAUAGAAUACAAGAUUGCGCCGUCCUGGCCGUUGACAUUUGUGUACCACUAGUAAACAAAGAAUAGAGACAAAAGUAGAACGAGUUCAAACUGUCAAAACAGUUCACUUUACAGCGAAAGUGGUGUUUUAAUUUUGAUCAAUGCGAGAAUAUUGCAUUUUUCAUCUAAUCUAUUGGAGAAUAGUGAACGUUUUAGUGCACUCCAUGCUUUGCAAUUAAGGCUGCUGCAGCAAACGUUUUAGUGUACUCCAUUGCUUUGCAAUUAAGGCUGGUGCAGCAAACUGCGCCAGCAUCUGAGUGGGAUUGAUUAGUUAACUUGCUAAAGGAGGCUGCUUGGAGCAGAACCGAUAUGAUUGUGAUAAAAUGCUGUAAAUAUAAUAAUAAAAAAACAUUUCGGCUUUGGCACGCCCUGUAUACACAAAAUGCAGCGAUUCGUCGCAGCGUUACAUUUGCAUCUACGCAUAAUGAGAUGGGGCACCAUGGCACACUUCAUGGAAGGACAACAGCGCGAAUCGGAGCCAUGCAGUGUGCAUGAGUGCAGUACUACCAACAGCUGUUCCUGCAAAUCGUGAAUAUCGUGAAGCAUCUGGAACGCAACUAUUAUUUCGUACCUUGGUCGUUUACGCAACAUACCUGAAGAGCUGGAACAAAGAUAUAAAUCACAGGGAUUGAUCCGGCCCAAUAAAUAUGCAGGGAAAACUUUUGCUUUUUGUCGCAGGCGAAUCGAGAAAAUCUACUUUCCUCAAAGAGAUGCGUAUAAUACGCGGCAUUAUUUAUGAACUCGACCUUUUUCCAGAAUACAGUGAGAAGUGAUAUAUCAAAAUGUAUUACGAGGAAAGCACGUAUUGAUUGAUGCUCGUCAAAAACUGGGAAUCCCAUAGGGAAACACCGAACAAGAAACAAUGCGAAAUAGGCGAAAUUAAUUGAAUGUA